This 82-nucleotide transfer RNA is filed under the name Echria macrotheca. RNAcentral's name for it is "tRNA-Thr". It matches the Rfam family "tRNA". From Rfam's summary of the family: Transfer RNA (tRNA) molecules are approximately 80 nucleotides in length. Their secondary structure includes four short double-helical elements and three loops (D, anti-codon, and T loops). The record is from RNAcentral. Lineage: Eukaryota; Fungi; Ascomycota; Sordariomycetes; Sordariales; Schizotheciaceae.
GCCCGCUUGGCUCAGUGGUAGAGCGUGUCACUAGUAUUCUAGGGCAAUGACAAGGUCAUCAGUUCGAUUCUGAUAGUGGGCA